Molecule: long non-coding RNA, 1046 nt
Organism: Cyprinus carpio (common carp)
Lineage: Eukaryota; Metazoa; Chordata; Actinopteri; Cypriniformes; Cyprinidae
Source: Ensembl
CAAUUUCUAGAGGAAUUUUUUUUUCCAGCCAUGGAAAGCUGAAAAGCUACGAGAUUCCACACUUUCAUCGGAAUUUUAACUUAAGAAAGGUAACUUUGCUGAUUUAUUUCCACAGUUUACUCUUGUAAAGUUACCUAUUUGUUCAACUUUAAGAGUGCACCGAGAGAGAGAGGGGUAAACGAGCGGGACACUUCCUAGUAACCCCUGUCUUGUGUGCAUUUUAUUACCAAAAAACAAAACAAAAAAACAUUCUAUAUAUAAUUGGCCAUAAUUUCGAUAGAUUUUCUAAUCUGGCAACAUUCGAUAACGUCAUCAGUUUAGAGAAGGAUAGCAUUGUUGAAUAAAAAUUACAUUGGAAUUGUGUAUGUGAUGCAUCUGUUGGUGCACUAGCCGGAAAUAUGAUCCCGUACACUUGGAUUUUGCUCUAGCCGCUAAAGUCAACUGUCACCGCAGUGAAGCCAGCCGACUCUCGACUCGACAGAAAACGCAGCUACAGGUAAGACUUAAUACAUUUUUCAUAGGAUCAUGAUUUUUCUGAACUUCAUCGCAGGUCAAACCGCAGAAACGAGAUUGUUGAUAGCCUAAUUUGAAGUGCCAUUCCCGACAUGUGGGAGCAUAUACUGUAUUAAGAUUUGUCUUAUGUGGCAACAUUACAUUUAUAACGUCUUCAAUUUGAUUAAAGAGUAACGUUUAGCAUUGUUGAAUAAAAUUAAUUUGAAAUUGUGUGUUUGAUGUUGACGCGGUAGCCGUUUGAAUAAUCUCACUCGUUUUUUUUUUUUUGCUUGCCAACGUUGGCGCCUGAAGAAUCAGACAUUUAAGCGGGCCGAUUCGAAAGUUUUAUUCAUUCGAGAGUUUUAUUCAUGACUCGUGGAAGCAUAAUAAUAUACUCGCACUGUAUUAAGAUUUUUCGAGAUCUUACUCGUUCUUUUAUUUACCAUUUGGUUCAUUUCUUUCAGGUUGCAGCAAAGAGGCCUCAACAAUCGUUCCAGAUUCUUCAUCAAGAUAAAUCCAGAGCACAGCAAGUGCAAUUCGAAGGUCCAGGUUAG